Molecule: non-coding RNA, 560 nt
Organism: Ictidomys tridecemlineatus (thirteen-lined ground squirrel)
Lineage: Eukaryota; Metazoa; Chordata; Mammalia; Rodentia; Sciuridae
Source: RefSeq, a predicted model, not a curated record
GCCAGAUGACAGGCAUGUGCCACCACACCCGGCUAUAAACAUUUUAAUUACAAAUUUGAACAGAGCCCCUACCAAAUUUUGACAAGAAAAUGUAUGUUUUAUUGUUAUAAUUUCCUGCCUGGUCAAUUUCUAAAGCCUUGUUAAAAGGAUUUGAAGAGAUGUGAAUGUUAUUUUCUUAAGCACAUUUUACUAGAAGUGAAUGUAAGAGUGAAUAACCCUUCAACAAAGUAGUUCUUUGUAAUGUCAAGCCUUGGGAAAACCAUAAAGAAGGGAAGAUGAUAAAGAACACCAGAGCACUUUAAAUCCUUCUUUUUGUCAUAAUCUUUCUGUAAUUCAUUAGAAUGCUACUUAGUGGAAGGUAGGCCUGCUUUGAUGGUAUAGCAUUAACAAUAUAUUGCCAUGUAAAUCACUCAUCCUCACUCUCCACACCAAAUAGAAAGGAUGUUCUUUGAAUAAAUAAUUGAAUAUUCUCAGGAAAACAUUUCUUUAAACAACAAGAAUGUAAUAUUUUCCUGUCAUAUUUGAAGAAAUCAUAUUUUAAUAAAAAUUUACUACUCUUA